UACGUAGGACCCAAGCGUUAUCCGGAUUUACUGGGCGUAAAGAGUUGCGUAGGUGGCAAGUUAAGCAAAUAGUGAAAUUAUCCCGCUCAACGGGAUGCCCAUUAUUUGAACUGGCUAGCUUGAGAGCGAGAGAGGUAGAUGGAAUUGCUAGUGUAGGAGUGAAAUCCGUAGAUAUUAGCAGGAACACCGAUGGCGUAGGCAGUCUACUGGCUCGUUUCUGACACUAAGGCACGAAAGCGUGGGGAGCAAACGGG
RNAcentral lists this ribosomal RNA (254 nucleotides) under uncultured bacterium. RNAcentral describes it as "partial 16S ribosomal RNA". It matches the Rfam family "Bacterial small subunit ribosomal RNA", at positions 524 to 776 of the family's 1533-position model. The record is from RNAcentral.